UAAUUAUAGCAAGUAGAAUAUGAGCAAAACCAGCGCUGGACGACAGGGGAGUCUGCGCUCCGCCAACUGCCGUGCUGAGCAGUUCAAACAGUCCCUUUUUAUACAUCUUUACUUCCGUGUUCAUGAAGUAGUGGAGGUACUCUGCGCAUGCUUCAGUUGUUGUUAGGGGGUCGUUUUCUGCCUCCUGGUGGUCGUUGAGGCCGAAGUAAGAAGUCUUCCUCCUUUGUCCCAUAGUUGACCCCUCAUUCAUAUGUCCUUAUAUGGGGUUGUUUGUCCUGUUUCUGUCGGUUCCUGGAAGUCUGGCGGUUAUCUCGCGAUUGUGGUUAUCUUAUCUUAUGCAAGCAGUGUCUGGUAGCUGUUUGCAUAAGUGAUUUCACAUCUUUUGUUGCCUAACCUUUACAUUGAGCUUAACAUAAAUCUUAAUAAACAAUAUCCUAGUCCAUAGUUUCUCACAAUCCCCCCUUUUUCUUUUUAUCCUAUUAUUGUUUAUUAGACGCUACUUUCAUUUUCGGCACUGCGAACAAACCUUUUUCCACAAUCCCAACAUUUAUCAUAACACUCACAAGGUAAUACCUCACAAUUACAAAAGGCAUAGUUCUCACGUGGCAUAACGCAUUCACAACAAUCUUCAUCCUCAUUAAUAGAUACACUCUUAUAUUUUGCCCCAGACCUCGUAGUUAAAAUGAGCAGUUUAGCUAUGUCAAACCGUUCCUUAAUAAAGUGUAAAAUAUAGCGUAAUAUACAAGGCCCAAAUAUGAGUCCCAAAAUCAACAUGAUAAGCGGUCCUGCUAAGGCGGACAACAAAGUGGUUAGUCAAGGUGAAACAUUAAACCAGUUUUCAUACCAUGAUCUGCCCGCCUCACGAUCUUUCUUACGUUGAUCUAACCUUUUCCGGAGUUCAGACAUGGUGUCCUGGACUACUCCCGUAUGGUCAGCAAAAGAGCAACAUUCUUCAUUGAGAGCUACACAUAACCCUCCUUCCUUUAAAAACAAUAGAUCUAAUCCUCUUCUAUUUUGCAGUACUACUUCUGAUAAAGACUUUACUGAAGUGGCUAAAUUUUGGAUAGAUUGUUCUAUUUUUGCUAAAUCUUCAUCUACAGCCAUCUGCAAACUUUGUAACUCCUGACCUUUUACUAGGGAGGCUAUGCCUGUACCUGCUCCAACUCUGCCCGCUAUCAGCAGGGUAGCUAGGGUUACUACUGUAAUUGGCUCUCGUUUUUGCCUAUUCAGGUCUCCUUCAAAGUGGCGUAACACCUCCUCAGAGGUGUGAUAGAUCAGACGAGGAACAAUAAUCACCUGUACGCAAAACUGAGAUUGAUCAAACACGUUUAGGGAUAGGCAAGGCGUUACUCCGAUGUCUGAACAAACCCAUUUAGCUCCUGGUGUCAGGAUAGCCCAUUUGUCAUUUUGAUUCUUGUGUUUCUCUAUAUUGGUGUUAGUGACUGUUUUAUUGCACAAAGGCUGAUAUUUUUCGGGCACUGUACCUAUACAUUUUCCUUGACCUGUUACUAAUUGAAUAGUAAUUCCUUGCGUAUGGUUCCUCUGGUCAUCCCAUGGGCAUUCUCGUGGGUUUGAACCAUUAGACCAUUGAAUCCUACCUGGUUUUCCAAUUGCCUCAAAAUAUGGUGGUCUAACAUUAUAACAUAACAAACAUUCUUCAGUUAAAUUUGGUUUGCUUUCAUUAAGGGCACGAUAAGAGGCUUGCAUUAGAUUCCAUAAGGGGUCUUUGGAUUCUGACAACUCUAGAUCCCUGGAUGAGGAGAAUUCAGUCACAGUGUCAUUAGUUGUUCCCUGGUUGCUGGUCUUUUUUAAUCACGUAGUCUUGACUGAUAAGUGCUUGGUUGGGGCCUACCGGCAGUGGAUCAUUCGGGACAACCUCCUUUUUUAUGAGGAUUAAGCCACCCCGGUCUGUACCUGGUGCUGUGUACCUUAUUCCCCAAAUCUUUCCAAGUAACCAGCUAUUCUCUUGGGCCUCAGUAACAUUUAAGAAGAGGUAUCGACAAUUUCCACGUCCUUGCCAUCCUUGCGGUGGAGUACACCCAUAUGGACCCCAUUGGACUUUUAAGUAUCUGUCUCUACCACUACCCGGUAUCCAAGCAGGGGCUAUGGUCUCACAUCCCCAAUAACUACAAUAAUAUUGGUUAGGGAGGUUACAAUAUCCCUUAUUAGGAUUUGAGCUGGGACACAUAUAAAAUCCUAGAUAUUCCCAGCACCGGUCUCUCGGGACCAGCUGACACAGAGAGGCAUUAAAACUUGGCGCUCCUGAUGUUAUUUGAGUUGCAAUAACUUGUUGAUCCUCAAAUCGAAAGAGGGACCAUUUAAAUGGUUGGUGGGGGUGGCUUUCUGAUUCUGCCUGUCCUAUGAUGACAAGCCCUAAAAUCAAGAUCACACAAAGGCAUCGUAGCCCCUUCCCAUGGGGGCUAUGUUGUCGUUGUUUGGGUUCCACUGGCACAACUAACGGUAUACCAGGAAAAAGGGUGUCUGUCAAUUUUGCCAAUUUAAAUAUAUUUUUACCAGUCCUGGGGAAGUUCGGCCAUUGCUGCUUUUGCAAAUUGUCAUAAAUUGUGACCACAACGGAUCAUAAUCCAAUUAAAAUUUUAUUAAUUAUAGCAAGU
RNAcentral lists this long non-coding RNA (2615 nucleotides) under Strigops habroptila (Kakapo). Its description in RNAcentral is "lncRNA (ENSSHBG00005020581.1)". Lineage: Eukaryota; Metazoa; Chordata; Aves; Psittaciformes; Psittacidae. The record is from RNAcentral.